CGGAUCUCGAAAGCCUGUCCCAGUUCGGACUGGAGUCUGCAACCCGACUCCACGAAGUUGGAUUCGCUAGUAAUCGCGCAUCAGCCAUGCCGCGGUGAAUACGUUCCCGGGCCUUGUACACACCGCCCGUCACACCAUGAGAGUUGGCAAUACCCAACGUACGUGAUCUAACCCGCAAGGGAGGAAGCGUCCUAAGGUAGGGUCAGCGAUUGGGGUGAAGUCGUAACAAGGUAGC
Molecule: ribosomal RNA, 235 nt
Filed under: uncultured bacterium
Lineage: Bacteria
Description: partial 16S ribosomal RNA
Rfam family: Bacterial small subunit ribosomal RNA
Source: RNAcentral